This 253-nucleotide ribosomal RNA is filed under the name uncultured bacterium. RNAcentral's name for it is "partial 16S ribosomal RNA". It matches the Rfam family "Bacterial small subunit ribosomal RNA", at positions 524 to 776 of the family's 1533-position model. The record is from RNAcentral.
UACGUAGGGGGCAAGCGUUGUCCGGAAUCAUUGGGCGUAAAGAGCGCGUAGGCGGUCCGGUAAGUCCGCUGUGAAAGUCAAGGGCUCAACCCUUGAAUGCCGGUGGAUACUGUCGGGCUAGAGUCCGGAAGAGGCGAGUGGAAUUCCUGGUGUAGCGGUGAAAUGCGCAGAUAUCAGGAGGAACACCGGUGGCGAAGGCGGGUCUCUGGGCCGAUAUUGACGCUGAGGAGCGAAAGCGUGGGGAGCGAACAGG